UUCUUAACAAACGUUGUAACCUACUUUCCUUUUAAGGGGAUCUCAGAUAUUCAAGAGGAGUUCUGCAGUGUUAUUUCAUCAAGGCAUAAUCCAAAACAUCUAGCAAAGCCUGCAGUGACUCCAACGCUGUCCUGAAGACAGACAAACAGAUUGCACUGAAAACUUUUGAAUGGUGACCGUCAGCAAACACAGCGGGAACGCAAGGGUGGGAUCACUGGAGCAGAGGAUUGUGGGAGCACUGGAGAACAUGGAGUCAAUCACUGGAGAUCUGGCAGAUCUGCCAGCAGAUGGAAAGAGGAAGAGAGCACUUGCUUUGUUUUUUAUUUAUGUCACUCCAGCAGUAGCAGACCAACCGUCUCUCAGAGCAGCAGGUGCUUGUGGGUGAUAAGAACUACCUGUCAACUGGUUCACUCUCACCUGUCACACUCAGACUGCUGUGGAGUGCUAGAUACAGUCAGACCGCUGCAGUGUGUGUGUGGGUGUGCACAUCGAAUGAGUAAUACAUGUAUUAAAUAAAAUGAAAGCAAAUAAUAAAAUCAUUGCUUUAAUUAAUACCUCAAUUCAGGUUCAUUAUAUUUAUUUUCAUUAGUUAUUUUCAUUAAAUUUUAGUUUCAUUAAAUAAUUAAAGAGAAAUAAAAUCUAACAUUUUUAGUUUCACAGAG
Molecule: long non-coding RNA, 662 nt
Organism: Cyprinus carpio carpio
Lineage: Eukaryota; Metazoa; Chordata; Actinopteri; Cypriniformes; Cyprinidae
Source: Ensembl